This 72-nucleotide transfer RNA is filed under the name Beta vulgaris subsp. vulgaris (sugar beet). It matches the Rfam family "tRNA". Rfam says of the family: Transfer RNA (tRNA) molecules are approximately 80 nucleotides in length. The record is from Rfam by way of RNAcentral. Lineage: Eukaryota; Viridiplantae; Streptophyta; Magnoliopsida; Caryophyllales; Amaranthaceae.
CGGGGUGUAGCGUAGCAGUAACGCGCUCGGCUUGGGACCGAGAGACCGCAGGUGCGAUUCCUGUCGCCCCGA